GUUUGAUCCUGGCUCAGAGCGAACGCUGGCGGCAGGCCUAAUACAUGCAAGUCGAGCGGUUCCUUCGGGAACAGCGGCGGACGGGUGAGUAACGCGUGGGAACGUGCCCUUUGGUACGGAACAACUGAGGGAAACUUCAGCUAAUACCGUAUGUGCCCCCCUUCUUAGCGGGAGGGGUGGGAAAGAUUUAUCGCCAUUGGAGCGGCCCGCGUUGGAUUAGGUAGUUGGUGAGGUAAAGGCUCACCAAGCCUACGAUCCAUAGCUGGUCUGAAAGGAUGAUCAGCCACACUGGGACUGACACACGGCCCACACUCCUACGGGAGGCAGCAGUAAGGAAUCUUGCGCAAUGGGCGAAAGCCUGACGCAGCCAUGCCGCGUGAAUGAUGAAGGUCUUAGGAUUGUAAAAUUCUUUCACCGGGGACGAUAAUGACGGUACCCGGAAAACAAGCCCCGGCUAACUUCCUGCCAGCAGCCGCGGUAAUACGAAGGGGGCUAGCGUUGCUCGUAAUUACUGGGCGUAGAGGGAGCGUAGGCGGAUAGUUUAGAGGAGGUGACCGCCGAGGACUCAACCUUGUGUUGUCGUUGAUACUGUCUAUGAUGAGUAUGGAAGAUGUAUGAGCUUCUAGUAUUGUAGAGAAGAUCCUCGAAGAUAUGCAUAACACAUGGUGAAGGACGCAAAUGGUGCACUACUACAGAUGAAGAUCCUCGAUUGCGUGAGAACAAACAGAUAUAAACAUCCUGUUCUCCACGCAAACACUAGAGCGCUAGUUGCAGUGGAGCAUCAUUGCGCGUCUCACCGAGUAUAGUACUUACUCUGAGGUAUUCGUCGCACAUAGACUCAACGAAUGCUGGCGACGCAACACGUGAGAGUGCUUAUCAAUCAGCUGACUUCCUCUACUAAUGCCGCUCACUCAGAUCGGCUGCAUCAUAGCGACUUGCAUGCUGCUCGCAGAUAAGACAGAGUCGUACGCGACGAUCACAAGAUAAUCUAAAUGAUGACUGAUGC
Molecule: ribosomal RNA, 1006 nt
Filed under: uncultured bacterium
Lineage: Bacteria
Description: bacterial SSU rRNA
Rfam family: Bacterial small subunit ribosomal RNA (bases 1-816)
Source: RNAcentral